This 1501-nucleotide ribosomal RNA is filed under the name Candidatus Harrisonbacteria bacterium CG10_big_fil_rev_8_21_14_0_10_44_23. RNAcentral describes it as "bacterial SSU rRNA". It matches the Rfam family "Bacterial small subunit ribosomal RNA". The record is from RNAcentral. Lineage: Bacteria; Candidatus Harrisoniibacteriota.
AUCGAGGAUUUGAUCCUGGUCCAGGAUGAACGCUGGCGGCAUGGAUAAGGCAUGCAAGUCGAACGCUUUGUUUUUAACAAAGAGUGGCAAACGGGUUAGUAACACCUUGGUUACCUACCCUGAAGACGGGAAUAGCUCCGGGAAACCGGAAGUAAUGCCCGAUAGUCUCGCAAGAGUAAAUCUCGCAAGAGGCUUCAGGAUGGACCUAGGCCCGAUCAGCUUGUUGGUGAGGUAGAAGCUCACCAAGGCUAUGACCGGUAGGGGGGCUGAGAGGCUGAUCCCCAACACUGGGACUGAGACACUGCCCAGACACCUACGGGUGGCUGCAGUCGAGAAUAUUCCACAAUGCACGAAAGUGUGAUGGAGCAAUGCCGCGUGCAGGAUGAAGGCCUCCGGGUCGUAAACUGCUUUUCUACAGGAAGAAGCUAAUUUAUUAGUUGACGGUACUGUAGGAAUAAGGAGCUGCAAACCUCGUGCCAGCAGCAGCGGUAAUACGAGGGCUCCAAGCGUUAUCCGGAAUCAUUGGGCGUAAAGCGCACGUAGGUGGUUCGAUGCGUCUUCUGUAAAAUCCCAACUGCUUAACAGUGGGUCUGCAGAAGAUACGAUCGAACUAGAGGGUGUGAGAGGUUACUGGAACUCACGGUGUAGGGGUGAAAUCCGUUGAUAUCGUGGGGAACACCAAAGGCGAAGGCAUGUAACUGGCACACUCCUGACACUCAGGUGCGAAAGCGUGGGUAGCGAAUGGGAUUAGAUACCCCAGUAGUCCACGCCGUAAACGAUGUUCACUAACUGUUGGAAGUAUCGACCCUUCCAGUGGUGUAGCUAACGCGUUAAGUGAACCGCCUGGGAAGUACGGCCGCAAGGCUAAAACUCAAAGGAAUAGACGGGGACUCGCACAAGCGGUGGAGCGUGAGGUUUAAUUCGACGAUCAGCGAAGAACCUUACCCAGACUUGACACUCUAGUGAAAGACUUAAGAAAUUAAGUCCCCUCUUCGGAGCACUAGGACAGGUGCUGCAUGGUUGUCGUCAGCUCGUGCUUUGAAGUGUUCCCUUAAGUGGGGUAACGAGCGCAACCCAUACUGUGUGUUACAAGUGUCACACAGGACCGCCCCCCACUUUUUGCCGGAGUGAAAACUCGGGCCAAGAGUGGGGGGAGGAAGGAAUGGAUGACGCCAAAUCAGCAUGGCCCUUUGAUGUCUGGGGCAACACUCGCGCUACAAUGGCUGGUACAACGGGUUGCCAAACCGUGAGGUGGAGCUAAUCCCUUAAAACCAGUCUCAGUUCGGAUCGGAGUCUGCAACUCGACUCCGUGAAGUCGGAAUCGCUAGUAAUCGCGGAUCAGCACGCCGCGGUGAAUACGUUCUCGAGUCUUGUACUCACCGCCCGUCAAUGCAAGGGAGCUGGGAAUACCCGAAGGAUCGUUUCGACGGUACUAAGGUAAGCUCAGUGACAUGGCAUAAGUCGUAACAAGGCACGCGUAGCGGAAGCUGUGCGUGGAUCA